GUCUCGCACCAUUCCGAGUCCGGCGGACGAAGUUGGCCAGCCCCACCCCCCACGGCUAUAGCCCACCCGUUUUUGUGGGCUUUUUCCGCUGGACGAACUUGGCGUCCCGGCCUUCGGGCGGUUAUUUUUGGGCGCGGCUGAGUCCUUGGCCUAUUUUUGGUGCACGGAGGUGCCUCGCAAAGGCUCGCGCCAUUCCGAGUCCGGCGGACGAAGUUGGCCAACCCCACCCUCCAAGGCUAUAGCCCACCCGUUUUUGUGGCCUUUUUCCGCUGGAUGAACUUGGCGCCCCGGCCUUCGGGUGGUUAUUUUUGGGCGCGGCUAUGCCCACGGCCUAUUUUUGACACAUGGAGGUGCCUCGCAAUGUCUCGCGCCAUUCCGAGUCCGGCGGACGAAGUUGGCCAGCCCCACCCCCAAAGGCUAUAGCCCACCCGUUUUUGUGGCCUUUUUCCGCUGGACGAACUUGGCGCCCCGUCCUUCGGGCGGUUAUUUUUGGGCGCGGCUGUUCCCACGGCCUAUUUUUGGCACACGGAGGUGCCUCGCAAAGUCUCACGCCAUUCCGAGUGCUGCGGACGAAUUUGGCCAGCCCCACCCCCCAAGGCUAUAGCCCACCCGUUUUUGUGCCCUUUUUCCACUGGACGAACUUGGCGCCCCGGCCUUCGGGCGGUUAUUUUUGGGCGCGGCUGUGCCUGCGGCCUAUUUUCGGCACACGGAGGUGCCUCGCAAAGUCUCGCACCAUUCCGAGUCCGGCAGACGAAGUUGGCCAGCCCCACCCCCCAAGGUUAUAGCCCACCCGUUUUUGUUGCCUUUUUCCGCUAGACGAACUUGGCGCCCCGGCCUUCGGGCGAGUAUUUUUGAGCACUGCUGUGCCCGCGGCCUAUUUUUGGCACAAGGAGGCACCUCGCAAGGUCUCUCUCCAUUCCGAGUCCAGCGGACGAAGUUGGCGAGCCCCACCCCCCAAGGCUAUAGCCCACCCGUUUUUGUGGCCUUUUUCCGCUGGACGAACUUGGCGCCCCGGCCUUCGGGUGGUUAUUUUUGGGUGCGGCUGUGCCCGCGGACUAUUUUUAGCACACGGAGGUGCCUUUCAAAGUCUCACGCCAUUCCGAGUCCGGCUGACGAAGUUGGCCAGCCGCACCCCCCAAGGCUAUAGCCCACCCGUUUUUGUGGCCUUUUUCCGCUGGACGAACUUGCCGCCACGACCUUCGGGCGUUAUUUGUGGGCGCGGCUGAGUCCGGGUCCUAUUUUUGGCGCACGGAGGUGCCUCGCAAAGUCUCGCGCCAUUCCGAGUCCGGAAGACGAAGGUUGGCCAGCCCCACCCUCCAAGGCUAUCGCCCACCCGUUUUUGUGGCCUUUUUCCGCUGGAUGAACUUGGCGCCCCGGCCUUCGGGUGGUUAUUUUUGGGCGCGGCUGUGCCCACGGCCUAUUUUUGGCACACGGAGGCACCUCGCAAAGUCUCGCACCAUUCCGAGUCCGGCGGACGAAGUUGGCCAGCCCCACCCCCCACGGCUAUAGCCCACCCGUUUUUGUCGGCUUUUUCCGCUGGACGAACUUGGCGCCCCGGCCUUCGGGCUGUUAUUUUUGUGCGCGGCUGUGCCCGCGGCCUAUUUUUGGCACACGGAGGCACCUCGCAAGGUCUCUCUCCAUUCCGAGUCCGGUGGACGAAGUUGGCAAGCCCCACCCCCCAAGGCCAUAGCCCACCCGUUUUUGUGGCCUUUUUCCUGGACGAACUUGGCGUCCCGGCCUUCGGGAGGUUAUUUUUGGGCGCGGCUGUGCCCGCGGCCUAUUUUUGGUACACAGUGGUGGCUCGCAAAGUGUCGCGCCAUUCCGAAUCCGGCGGACAAAGUUCGCCAGCCCCACCCCCCAACGCUAUAGCCCACCCGUUUUUGUGGCCUUUUUCCGCUGGACGAACUUGGCGCCCCGGCCUUCGGGCGGUUAUUUUUGGGUGCGGCUGUGCCCGCGGCCUAUUUUUGGCACACGGAGGUGCCUUGCAACGUCUCGCCCCAUUCCAAGUCCGGCGGACGAAGUGGGCCAGCCCCACCCCCCAAGGCUAUAGCCCACCCGUUUUUGUGGCCUUUUUCCGCUGGAUGAACUUGGCGCCCCGGCUUCCGGGCGGUUAUUUUUGGGCGCGGCUUUUUCCGCGGCCAAUUUUUGGCACACGGAGGUGCCUCGCCAAGUCUCGCGCCAUUCCGAGUCCGGCGGACGAAAUUGGCCAGCCCCACCCCCCAAGGCUAUAGCCCACCCGUUUUUGUGGCCUUUUUCCGCUGGACAAACUUUGUGCCCCGGCCUNNNNNNNNNNNNNNNNNNNNNNNNNNNNNNNNNNNNNNNNNNNNNNNNNNNNNNNNNNNNNNNNNNNNNNNNNNNNNNNNNNNNNNNNNNNNNNNNNNNNNNNNNNNNNNNNNNNNNNNNNNNNNNNNNNNNNNNNNNNNNNNNNNNNNNNNNNNNNNNNNNGAACUUGGCACCCCGGCCUUCGGGCGGUUAUUUUUGGGUGCGGCUGUGCCUGCGGCCUAUUUUUGGCACACAGAGGUGCCUCGCAAAGUCUCGCGCCAUUCCGAGUCCGGCGGACGAAGUUGGCGAGCCCCACCCCCCAAGGCUAUAGCCCACCCGUUUUUGUGGCCUUUUUCCGCUGGACGAACUUGGCGCCCCGGCCUUCGGGUGGUUAUUUUUGGGUGCGGCUGUGCCCGCGGACUAUUUUUAGCACACGGAGGUGCCUUUCAAAGUCUCACGCCAUUCCGAGUCCGGCUGACGAAGUUGGCCAGCCGCACCCCCCAAGGCUAUAGCCCACCCGUUUUUGUGGCCUUUUUCCGCUGGACGAACUUGGCGCCACGACCUUCGGGCAUUAUUUGUGGGCACGGCUGAGUCCGGGUCCUAUUUUUGGCGCACGGAGGUGCCUCGCAAAGUCUCGCGCCAUUCCGAGUCCGGCGGACGAAGUUGGCCAACCCCACCCUCCAAGGCUAUCGCCCACCCGUUUUUGUGGCCUUUUUCCGCUGGAUGAACUUGGCGCCCCGGCCUUCGGGUAGUUAUUUUUGGGCGCGGCUGUGCACACGGCCUAUUUUUGACACAUGGAGGUGCCUCGCAAAGUCUCGCGCCAUUCCGAGUCCGGCGGACGAAGUUGGCCAGCCCCACCCCCCAAGGCUAUAGCCCACCCGUUUUUGUGGCCUUUUUCCGCUGGACGAACUGGGCGCCCCGUCCUUCGGGCGGUUAUUUUUGGGCGCGGCUGUUCCCACGGCCUAUUUUUGGCACACGGAGGUGCCUCGCAAAGUCUCGCGCCAUUCCGAGUGCUGCGGACGAAUUUGGCCAACCCCACGCCCCAAGGCUAUAGCCCACCCGUUUUUGUGGCCUUUUUCCGCUGGACGAACUUGGCACCCCGGCCUUCGGGCGGUUAUUUUUGGGUACGGCUGUGCCUGCGGCCUAUUUUUGGCACACAGAGGUGCCUCGCAAAGUCUCGCGCCAUUCCGAGUCCGGCGGACGAAGUUGGCCAGCCCCACCCCCCAAGGUUAUAGCCCACCCGUUUUUGUGGCUUUUUCCGCUAGACGAACUUGGCGCCCCGGCCUUCGGGUGGGUAUUUUUGAGCACUGCUGUGCCCGCGGCCUAUUUUUGGCACACGGAGGCACCUCGCAAGGUCUCUCUCCAUUCCGAGUCCGGCGGACGAAGUUGGCAAGCCCCACCCGCCAAGGCUAUAGCCCACCCGUUUUUGUGGCCUUUUUCCUGGACGAACUUGGCGUCCCGGCCUUCGGGAGGUUAUUUUUGGGCGCGGCUGUGCCCGCGGCCUAUUUUUGGUACACAGUGGUGGCUCGCAAAGUGUCGCGCCAUUCCGAAUCCGGCGGACAAAGUUGGCCAGCCCCACCCCCCAACGCUAUAGCCCACCCGUUUUUGUGGCCUUUUUCCGCUGGACGAACUUGGCGCCCCGGCCUUCGGGCGGCUAUUUUUGGGCGCGGCUGUGCCCGCGGCCUAUUUUUGGCACACGGAGGUGCCUUGCAACGUCUCGCCCCAUUCCAAGUCCGGCGGACGAAGUGGGCCAGCCCCACCCCCCAAGGCUAUAGCCCACCCGUUUUUGUGGCCUUUUUCCGCUGGAUGAACUUGGCGCCCCGGCUUCCGGGCGGUUAUUUUUGGGCGCGGCUUUUUCCGCGGCCAAUUUUUGGCACACGGAGGUGCCUCGCCAAGUCUCGCGCCAUUCCGAGUCCGGCGGACGAAAUUGGCCAGCCCCACCCCCCAAGGAUAUAGCCCACCCGUUUUUGUGGCCUUUUUUCCGCUGGACAAACUUUGUGCCCCGGCCUUCGGGCGGUUAUUUUUGGGCGCGGUUGUGCCCGCGGCCUAUUUUUGGCACACGGAGGCGCCUCGUAAAGUCUCGCGCCAUUCCGAGUCCGGCGGAGGAAAUGGGCCAGCCCCCCCCCCACAAGGCUAUAGCCCACCCGUUUUUGUGGCCUUUUUCCGCUGGACGAACUUGGCGGCCCGGCCUUCGGGCGGUUAUUUUUGGUCGCGGCUGUGCCCGCGGCCUAUUUUUGGCACACGGACGCGCCUCGCAAAGUCUCACGGCAUUCCGAGUCCGGCGGACGAAGUCGGCCAGCCCCACCCCCCAAGGUUAUAGCCCACCCGUUUUUGUGGCCUUUUUCCGCUAGACGAACUUGGCGCCCCGCCCUUCGGGCGGGUAUUUUUGAGCACUGCUGUGCCUGCGGCCUAUUUUUGUCACACGGAGGCACCUAGCAAGGUCUCUCUCCAUUCCGAGUCCGGCGGACGAAGUUGGCCAGCCCCACCCCCCAAGGCUAUAGCCCACCCGUUUUUGUGGGCUUUUUCUGCUGGACGAACUUGGCGCCCCGGCCUUCGGGUGGUUAUUUUUGGACGCGGCUGUGCCCGCAGUCUAUUUUUGGCACACGGAGGCGCCUCACAAAGUCUCGCGACAUUCCGAGUCCGGCGGACAAAGUUGCCCAGCCCCACCCCCCAAGGCUAUAGCCCACCCGUUUUUGUGGCCUUUUUCCGCUGGACGAACUUGGCGUCCCGGGCUUCAGGCGGUUAUUUUUGGGCGUGGCUGUGCCCGUGGCCUAUUUUUGGCACACAGAGGUGCCUCGCAAAGUCUCGCGCCAUUCCGAGUCCGGCGGACGAAGUGGGCCAGCCCCACCCCCAAGGCUAUAGCCCACCCGUUUUUGAGGCCUUUUUCCGCUGGACGAACUUGGCGCCCCGGCCUUCGGGAGGUUAU
Molecule: long non-coding RNA, 5188 nt
Filed under: Citrus x clementina
Lineage: Eukaryota; Viridiplantae; Streptophyta; Magnoliopsida; Sapindales; Rutaceae
Description: Citrus clementina (C. clementina) long non-coding RNA (CCLE_LNC000008)
Source: RNAcentral